This 937-nucleotide ribosomal RNA is filed under the name Exophiala moniliae. RNAcentral describes it as "LSU rRNA". It matches the Rfam family "Eukaryotic large subunit ribosomal RNA", at positions 38 to 977 of the family's 3401-position model. Lineage: Eukaryota; Fungi; Ascomycota; Eurotiomycetes; Chaetothyriales; Herpotrichiellaceae. The record is from RNAcentral.
GCAUAUCAAUAAGCGGAGGAAAAGAUACCAAACAGGGAAUUGCCUCAGUAACGGCGAGUGAAGCGGCAACAGCUCAAAAUUUGAAAUCUGGCCUCUUUUGGGGUCCGAGUUGUAAUUUGUAGAGGAUGUUUCGGGUACCGCCUCGGUUUAAAUUUCUUGGAACAGAAUGUCAAAAGAGGGUGAGAAUCCCGUCUUGGACCGGCGGUAGGGCCCAUGUGAAACUCCUUCGACGAGUCGAGUUGUUUGGGAAUGCAGCUCAAAAUGGGUGGUAAAUUUCAUCUAAAGCUAAAUAUUGGCCAGAGACCGAUAGCGCACAAGUAGAGUGAUCGAAAGAUGAAAAGCACUUUGAAAAGAGAGUUAAACAGUAUGUGAAAUUGUUGAAAGGGAAGCGCUUGCAACCAGACUUGAGCGCGGCGGUUCCCCCUUCCUUUUGGUUGGGUUACUCCGCCGUGUCCAGGCCAACAUCGGUUUUGGGGGCCGGUUAAAGGCCCGGGGAAUGUAUCUACUCCUUCGGGGGUAGACUUAUAGCCCCGGGUGUCAUGCGGCCUUCCGGGACCGAGGAACGCGCUUCGGCUCGGAUGUUGGCGUAAUGGUUGUCAGCGACCCGUCUUGAAACACGGACCAAGGAGUCUAACAUCUAUGCGAGUGUUUGGGUGUCAAACCCGGAACGCGGAAUGAAAGUGAACGGAGGUAGGAAGCCUUUAGGCUGCACUAUCGACCGAUCCUGAUGUCUUCGGAUGGAUUUGAGUAAGAGCAUAGCUGUUGGGACCCGAAAGAUGGUGAACUAUGCCUGAAUAGGGUGAAGCCAGAGGAAACUCUGGUGGAGGCUCGCAGCGGUUCUGACGUGCAAAUCGAUCGUCAAAUUUUGGGUAUAGGGGCGAAAGACUAAUCCGAACCCAUCUGGUAGCUGGCUUCCUGUCGAAGUUUCCCCUCAAGG